This 1017-nucleotide ribosomal RNA is filed under the name uncultured bacterium. RNAcentral describes it as "bacterial SSU rRNA". It matches the Rfam family "Bacterial small subunit ribosomal RNA", at positions 355 to 1375 of the family's 1533-position model. The record is from RNAcentral.
UGAGGAAUAUUGGUCAAUGGGCGCAGGCCUGAACCAGCCAAGUAGCGUGAAGGAUGACUGCCCUAUGGGUUGUAAACUUCUUUUAUAAAGGAAUAAAGUCGGGUAUGUAUACCCGUUUGCAUGUACUUUAUGAAUAAGGAUCGGCUAACUCCGUGCCAGCAGCCGCGGUAAUACGGAGGAUCCGAGCGUUAUCCGGAUUUAUUGGGUUUAAAGGGAGCGUAGAUGGAUGUUUAAGUCAGUUGUGAAAGUUUGCGGCUCAACCGUAAAAUUGCAGUUGAUACUGGCGUCCUUGAGUACGGUUGAGGCAGGCGGAAUUCGUGGUGUAGCGGUGAAAUGCUUAGAUAUCACGAAGAACUCCGAUUGCGAAGGCAGCCUGCUAAGCUGCAACUGACAUUGAGGCUCGAAAGUGUGGGUAUCAAACAGGAUUAGAUACCCUGGUAGUCCACACGGUAAACGAUGAAUACUCGCUGUUUGCGAUAUACUGCAAGCGGCCAAGCGAAAGCGUUAAGUAUUCCACCUGGGGAGUACGCCGGCAACGGUGAAACUCAAAGGAAUUGACGGGGGCCCGCACAAGCGGAGGAACAUGUGGUUUAAUUCGAUGAUACGCGAGGAACCUUACCCGGGCUUAAAUUGCAGAUGAAUUACGGUGAAAGCCGUAAGCCGCAAGGCAUCUGUGAAGGUGCUGCAUGGUUGUCGUCAGCUCGUGCCGUGAGGUGUCGGCUUAAGUGCCAUAACGAGCGCAACCCUUGUUGUCAGUUACUAACAGGUUCCGCUGAGGACUCUGACAAGACUGCCAUCGUAAGAUGUGAGGAAGGUGGGGAUGACGUCAAAUCAGCACGGCCCUUACGUCCGGGGCUACACACGUGUUACAAUGGGGGGUACAGAGGGCCGCUACCACGCGAGUGGAUGCCAAUCCCCAAAACCUCUCUCAGUUCGGACUGGAGUCUGCAACCCGACUCCACGAAGCUGGAUUCGCUAGUAAUCGCGCAUCAGCCACGGCGCGGUGAAUACGUUCCC